Molecule: long non-coding RNA, 3704 nt
Organism: Nycticebus coucang (slow loris)
Lineage: Eukaryota; Metazoa; Chordata; Mammalia; Primates; Lorisidae
Exons: 5
Source: RefSeq, a predicted model, not a curated record
AGAACUUGCUGAGCAAGUUGUGUGUGGGGACGGAUGUUGCUCACUUAGGAUAAGAGGUGAGCAGGGCUCCUGGUGUUCCCUUUCCUGGCCUGAAGGGAGAAGUGUUCUGGUGAGUCUCCCCCAUGGGAGGGACUGUGCACAGCAUCCCUACUCACACCAGUCACAUGAUUCUUAUUCUACCUACCAUAGAUUUUUAGUUUGUACCUCAGAGAAAAUCCUCUAAUUGUACUUUAUGUUCCUGAAAAUAUUACUUUUAGGUAAUGUCAAAUACAUUCUCCCUAAAUCCUCUACUUGUAGGGAACAGUAAUAACCCAUAAUUUAGAUUGCAAGACGAGAGAGAGAGAAAAAAUGCAAUUAAUGCAAUUACAUUGAAGUCGAGGCAAUCAAAGAGUCCAUAAUUGGAUUUUGGCACCUGUGAAUGAGAAACAGUUAAUGGAGACACUUCCAGCAAUAAUAAUAAAUUAAAACAUUAGACCCUGAGUUCCUUGAGGGGUAGGUCUCUGUGUGUCCUGGCACAGAGCAUGAUUGUCUAUCUCUACAGAUAGUCAAGCAAAUCCUGUUUACAGGAUAAAUGAACUUGCACGCCAUCCUCAGUCACUGAUCCUGUCUAAUGCCAGCACGUGUGAUCUCCAAUAGUCCUCAGUGAUAAUCACUCUGCCCGUUGUGCCAUCUGAGCCCCAGUCCUGCUCCACCUACCACGUGGGCCCAUGACUGUUUGCAAUUCUAGGUCACCCAUUCCCCAGCCCUAUCCCUGAGGCUGAGGUUCUCACUGUUGGCUGCCCCCAGGAAUAAGCACCUGGGUUGUUUAGAGAAAUACGGAGGCCUGGAUCACACUCCAGACCUGUAAAGUCUGAUUUGGGGGGAUGCAACACAGACAUGGGGACUUUUAAAGUUUACCUGUGAUCUGAAAGGGCAGCUGACAUGGAGAAGCGCUGCUGUGCUCUGAGGCCAGGACAGCACCUCACUGCCCCGUCUUAACAGAAAUCCCUUAUUUUUCUAAAAAGCAGAAUCUCUUAAAAUAGAGUGAAAGAGCGGCUUUCAGAGCCAAAGCAACUCUAGUAAUGAAGUUUGUGGCUUUGGCUCUCAUCAUGCUUUUUGUUCUUUCCCUGAGAAUUUCCUAUAACUGGAGCUCGCAGUGUGUGGACCCAAGCUAAUCUGAAGAAAGAGACAUCAGAGGUUACUCACUGGUGUGCACUGGGCUGUGAUGAGGAGGAAAGCGAGCAGAAGCACCACCUUCAUCUUUCCCUGCUCAACCUACAAGCAGAACAAGCAGCUACAACACGGCAACAACCCAAAGGCCCACUAACGUCGGGACCGUGACGCCAAAUGCGGUGCGUAUGUGCAAUACAGUGUCGUUCAUCCUUCCAGAGGAGGCGGAUUCUGACACACGCUGCAACAGGGGUGGCCUUGACCCCGUCACGCUGAGUGAAAAGAGCCAGUGCAGAGAGACAAGUGCUGGGGCAGCCACUCACUCUGCCUGCAGGGACCAGUCAGAAUCACAGCAGCAGAAAGCAGGCCGGGCCCGAGCUGGGGGCAGGGACCAGGGGCUGGUCCUUCCUGGGUGUAGAGCAUGGGUUCCGCAGGAUGAAGGGGCGAGGGUGUCUCUGGGUGCACAACAGCAUGAACAGGCCCAGUACCGGGGAACUGCGUGCUUAAGGGUGGUCGGUGGUCCAUACAGUAAAUUCCACACCAAUACAAAAGUUGGAACAAGAAAAGAAAGAAAAUUUACAUGAUUAUGUAUGUAAUAUGUGUAAAUGAUUUUAGAUUUAACUUCAUAAACACAACAUGCCCAGUAUUUAUAAAUGGCAAACAGAGGGCGUUUUGCUUGAAGAGCAAGACAUUGGAACAAUCCUGAGCUUCAGUUGAGAGUUAUGUUGAGAUUUGCUAUUUUCUGGAUUGUUGAGGUUUGCGGAAGGAGACGAGGCGAGAGCUUCAUACAUGGAAGUGCCUUGAUGUCCUCUUGUCCUAGAAAGCCACCCCUGGCUGGGGCUCCAUCCCCUGUAGCUGCCCUCCUUUUUCCUCUGUCUCUUCCCCCUCCCUGCCUCCUCCUCACAAACUGAAUGAGGCAGAUUUAAUGGGGAAGGCCAACCUCCCAGGCUGCUCUGAGAUGGGGCAUCAGAGAGGAUUCCUUGCCUUUGACAUUUUAAAAGGAGUGAAGCCAGCUUUGCUGUGGCCGCUCCGAAUGCUGGAGGCCGGGAAGAGAGCGCCUGGUUUGUCUCCUGAGAGGGAAAGAGGUGAUGGCUUGAGCAACACGGCUGUUUCACAUGCAGGAAGGGGACAAAAAUCUGGGCUCUGCGCAGGGCAGCAGUAUUUAACUCAGAGUCCAUGGAUUCCUGGAAGGCCAGCUUGGAAUUUCAUGCAAAAUGUACCUGUGGGAGCAGAAGAUCCAGGUUUUCACAGACUCUCAAAGGGGCACAUGACUCCACAGGAGGCUGGUCUCCAACUCCUGAGCUCAAGCAACCCAUGCACCUCCGCCAGCCAACCAGAGUGCUGGGACAGCAGGCGUGAGCCACAGCACUCAGCCUAAAGGAGGCAAUUGGCAGUGGCAGCUGAUAAGAUCUCAGACAACACUGGGGAGCAGUAGACCCAGGAGGAGGCGCUUGGGUCGGGGCCUUCGCAGCUGCAGUUCGGGAGACAGGUCACUAGCCAGGAGCUGAGUCACAUUCCGUACAGCUUCUCUCCUGACUACUGGGCUGUGAGCUGGGCAGCGUGCAGAGACAGAGGUGAAUACAACAAAGGCCCCGCUGUCAGGGAAGUCAGAGUCCACGUAAGAGAGGAAAUGAGGGACUGGACAUUGGCCACCCUGCCUCCUGCGUGUUCCUCACAGUCACCACUCAUCACACGUCUGGGAGAGAAAGCGUAACCCGCGUGUCCCCAGGCCGAGUGACCCUGAGCAAACCCGACAUGGCUGUCUGUCUCCAUCAGAAGGUGGAAUUUUCUAAGCAAGAAAUACUGAAAUAAGAGUGCUCUGACAAUCAGGCUCUGAGGAAACGCUCGGCACCACUAGGUCCUGGGUGUGUCCUGCCCCGUGUCACUGCAGCCCUGUCACAGGAGCACAUGCAGGUGCCCUGUGUCCAUGGCUCUGACCUUGUGGAGUCACCCAACACCAGGGUGACAUUCCGGGGGGUUGGGGGAACAGAUGGUUGUGUCUGUACCAAGCACACCUCUGUUGGGCGGCAAGGUCUCCAGUUUUGAGGAAUCGCAUCUGAGUCAAAGACCGAAUGCAACCUGGCCCCAGCUCUUUCCUUUUAUGGCUGGUUCCUGAACCAGAUUAGAAUGGAGACAUGGCCUUUUGGUCAUCUCAGACCGCGGAGAAUGCUAUUGUGCUUUUAGGCUGCUUUUAAUAAUGUUAUGCAAUUAUGACAAAAUCAUGCCUUUAAGCUACUAUAUAUAAAAGCUGUGCAAUAAAGCUGAGGUUGCCUUGUCCUACUGAGGAAAGGUUCUCCUGAUCCCGCUAUUUUUUGUGUUCCUUGUCCAUCCUGCGCCGGUCUCUGCCUGGGCUCCUAAUAACCUGGCUAGGCUGGUUCCUGGCAGACUUUCUUCUCCCUGUCAUUACUGCCUAGACAGGGCUGUCCAACCCUCUGCUGAGGGCUGCACGCAGCCCAGGGUGGCUGUGAAAGUGGCCAACACAAAAUCCUAAACUUUCCUCUGGCCCCAGAAUUCUCCCGCCGAAGCCCUGGGACCUCAUGUGACAGCAGUCGGUA